RNAcentral lists this ribosomal RNA (253 nucleotides) under uncultured bacterium. RNAcentral's name for it is "partial 16S ribosomal RNA". It matches the Rfam family "Bacterial small subunit ribosomal RNA", at positions 524 to 776 of the family's 1533-position model. The record is from RNAcentral.
UACGUAGGCAGCAAGCGUUGUUCGGAAUUACUGGGCGUAAAGCGCGUGUAGGCUGCUCUGCAAGUCGGAUGUGAAAGCCCUGGGCUCAACCUAGGAAGUGCAUUCGAAACUGCAGAGCUGGAGUCCUGGAGAGGAAGGCGGAAUUCUCGGUGUAGAGGUGAAAUUCGUAGAUAUCGAGAGGAACACCGGUGGCGAAGGCGGCCUUCUGGACAGUGACUGACGCUGAGACGCGAAAGCGUGGGGAGCAAACAGG